CGAGGGCGCACCUAUCUACAGGGUCCGGAAGAUUAUGGACAUGCGUCCUCGGGGCCGUGGUCAUCAGUACCUAGUGGAUUGGGAGGGUUACGGUCCUGAGGAAAGGAGUUGGGUUCCAUCUCGGGACGUGCUGGACCGUUCGCUGAUCGAUGAUUUCCUCCGUUGCCGCCAGGUUUCCUCCUCGAGUGCGCCAGGAGGCGCUCGGUGAGUGGGGGGGUACUGUCAUGUUAUGUCUUGUCCCUGUGCUUUCUCUUCUCUUCGUUUCCCCCUGCUGGUCGUAUUAGGUUACUAUCUCUCUCUCUAUCGUUCCGUUCCUGCUCCCAGCUGUUCCCCAUUCUCCUAACGACCUCGUUUACUCUCUCACACCUGUCUCCUCUUUUGCCCUCUGAUUAAGUCUCUAUUUCUCUCUCUGUUUCUGCUUCUGUCCUUGUCGGAUUCUUGUUUGCUUUGCCCUUGUCCCGUCCUGUCGUAAUCUGCCUCUUCAUCAGAUGCUGCGUGUGAGCAGGUGUCUCUGUCCUCUACGGCCCGUGCCUACCCGGAGGGACCAGCAGUCUGUUGCCGCUAGCCCUGCUAUUCUCCUCUACUACUACAAGGGGGACUCUCCUGUAAAGAUAGAGGAUUUAUGUUUUCCCUGUUUGGACAUCUCCUGUAAAGAUUGAGGAUUUAUGUUUUCCCUGUUUGGACAUUAAAAGACUCUGUUUCUGUUAAAUCGCUUUUGGGUCCUCACUCACCUGCAUAACAUUUACCCAGCUGAAAAUGAAUAGUGGCUGACAGCAGUAUGCUAACCCAAUGUUAACUUUUAUUCCUUUCCUUAACCCUUACCUUAACCUCACUGAAACUAUACCUAACCUUUACCUUAACCCAACCCUAGGUCCUGAACCUAACCUUCAUUUAUCUCAACCCCUAUGCCUUUCUUCUGCCGGUUGAAUAUCCACUUCCUUAUUAACGUCAUUACUGUUGUUGUUGUUGAUAACUGUAUCUGUGCAGGUUGUAAAUAGUUGCAUUAGUGAAGCAUCAUUUGUAGGAGUCAUUUCUACAAGCAUAAACAUCAGAGACAACCAUUGUUGUAAUAUCACACAAAUUGCAUUGGGAAUUUCAUUUUGCUUCAAUCAGAGAGAGAGAAGAUAAUAGAGGCAACGAAAAGAGAUGAGAUGGCAGAAGAGGAAAGAAGGGAGAUCCUUGAGAAGAGGGGUGAGUUAGAGGACACUGAAGAGGAGGAGGAGAAGGACGAUGACAAGGAGGACAUUCUCCCACCCGAUAAAAGUAUCCGAAGGAGAGCUGUGGGCUGGGUAAACAAGAAGUGGGAGAAGAGGAACCUCAGAAAGAUAGAGAGAACGUAUCAGAGAGAGGCUGAGGAGGGCUAUAAGAUCGUCCACAUAGGUCAUCCCUGGACCCAUAAGGCUAACCAUGACCCGGGCAGAGAGAGAGAGGAAGGAGCUCCUGAAGACAGAGGAGAGAAGGAAUAAGAUGGAGGAUUGCAGUGGAGAGAGCAGUCCCUGCUUAAUAAACGGACUCAUCAGAAACUUAAAGAGGAGAGGGAGAGGAUGAAGGAACAGUACCUAAAAAAACAAGCAAGAGAUUUAAGAUGGGAGGAGUCAACUAUACACAUCUAUUUUAGACCAUAGACCUUGUUCCACCCUAUAAAAGUAUCCGAAGGAGAGCUGUGGCCUAAGAAGUGGGAGAAGAGGAACCUCAAAAAGAUAGAGAACAUAUCAGAGAGAGGCUGAGGAGGGCUAUAAGAUCAUCAACAAAGGUAAGUCCUGUUUUCUCUCAGUUCAUAACGUUUAAUGACUCCAACCUAAGUGUAUGUAAACUUCCGACUUCAACUGUAUGUACAGUCCUUUCUAGUGGGGCGACAAAUGAGUUGAACAGGAGAAGAGGAUGAGGUUGGUGGUGGAGGAAGAGCAGUGGGGGUGGUGGGUAGAACAGCUGCAGUGACGUUGAUUGGUUGCUCUGGCUCAUCACUUGUUGACUAAAAGAAAGAAAGAUUUAGACAUUUGUUGGACAUUGCCAUAGUUCAACAGCUGAAAAGCCUUCAUUAACAUACUCCCAGAGAUAGAAAGACAUCCAGUAUUCACUGAAUGAAGGAGCCUAUUUACAAUUUCAUUCAUCAAUUCAAUAAAUGAUACUAUAGUACAUUCAAUGACGUUAUUAUUGUGGACUAUAGGCUACUCCUGUAUCUACCUUCUACAAUACCCUCAUCAUUGAAUGAAGCAGCAUACCUAUCCACAUUUACAAUGGUAGAUGUGGUGGUGGUAGGGAUGGUAGGUGUGGUGAUGUUAGGUGUGGGGAUGGUAGGUGUGAUGAUGGUAGGUGUGGGGAUGGUAGGUAUGAUAGGUGUGGGGAUGGUUGGUGUAAUGGUAAGUGGAGUGGUUGUAGGUGUGGUGAUGGUAGGUGUGGUUAUGGUAGAUGUGAUGAUGGUAAGUGUAGUGAUGGUAGGUGUGGUGACGGUAUGUGUUGUGAAGGUAGGUGUGGUUAUGGUAGAUGUGAUGAUGGUAGGUCUGAUGGUAGGUGUGGUGAAGUAAUUAUGGUAUGGUUUUUGUGGUGAUGGUAUGUAUGAUGGUAGGUGUAUGGAUGGUAGGUAUGGUGGGUGUAAUGGUAGGUAUGGUGAUGGUAGGUGUGAUAGUUGUGGUAGGUAGGUAUGGUAUGGUAGUUGUGGUAGGUAGGUAGGUAGGUUUGGUGGGUGUGGUGAUGGUACAUGAGGUAGCUGUGGUUAUGGUAGGUGUGGUGAUGGAUGGUUUGGUGAAGGUAGGUAUGGUAGGUGUGUUAGGUUUUGUGAUGUAGGUGUGAGAGAAGUGGUGAUGGUAGGUAAGUUUGGUAGGUUUGGUGAUGAUAGAUAGGGUAGGUAUGGUGAUUAUAGGUGUGGUAGUUUGGGUAGGUUUGUUAGGUGUGGUAAGUUUGAUGAUAGUAGAUGUGGUGUUGGUGGAUUGUAGGUGUGUUGAUGGUAGGUAGGGUAGUUGUGGUGGGUAGGUUUGGUAGGUGUGGUGAUGGUAGGUUUUGUAGUUGUGGUGAUGGUAGGUGUGUUAGUUUUAGUAGGUUGGUGUGGUGGUUGUGGUACAUAGGGGUGGUAGUUGUGGUAGGUAGAUGUGGUAGUUGGGAUAAGUAGGUGUGGUAGUUGGGAUAAGUAGGUGUGGUAGUUGUGGUAGUUGUGGUACAUAGGGGUGGUAGUUGUGGUAGGUAGGUGUGGUAGUUGUGGUGUUGGUGGAUUGUAGGUGUGUUGAUGGUGGGUAGGAUAGUUGUGGUAGGUCGAUGUGGUAGUUGUGGUAGGUAGGUUUGGUAGUUGUGUUUGGUAGGUGGGGUAGUUGUGGUACAUAUGUGUGGUGGUUGUGUUAGGUAGGUUUGGUGAUGGUAGGUUUUGUAGUUGUGGUGAUGAUAGGUGUGGUAGGUGUGUUAGUUUUGGUAGGUUGGUGUGGUGGUUGUGGUACAUAGGGGUGGUAGUUGUGGUAGUUGUGGUGAUUAGGGUUGGGCGGUAUCCAGAUGUUCAUAUUGUCAUACCAUCCUUCUCUCAUACCGGGAUUAACAGUAUUACUGGCAUAGCACAUGAGUGGGUGCUAAAAACACAAGAAAAACCUAUUGCCCUCUAUUUCCAGAAUGCUAACAAAUUAGCACAAACUGAUAGCAAAUUCACAUAGACGCUGUUAGCUAAAUGCUAACAACGGAAAACAAACUAGCUAAUUGCAAAGCAGUGGAGGCUGCUGAGGGGAAGACAACUCAUAAUCAUGUCUGGAAUGAAGUCAAUGGAGUGGUAUCAACCACAUCAAAGAUUCCAGACAUUAUUAUGAGCUUCCACUGUUGCAAAGAAAGGCAAAUCCAGCUCAUAAAGUGAUGUAAGGGAUAAUCAACGAGGGACUAUGAGUUCUAUGGUAAAUAAUGAACACUGUGGAACUGACCUUCCAUGGACUUGCAUUAUUUUCCAGAGAACCAUAAAGCCCUGAGUUGAUUAUCCCUUUUAUACCAUGGCUAUAAUUUAACACAUUUGCUGGUAGAAAUGUGUUCAAGUAGCUAGCAAGUUUACUAGAUAGCUACAGUAGUUGCCUUGGUAACCAAACAAACAUACUUGCUAGUUUAGAUAACCAAACCAUCAGUCCUAGCUUGCUAUUAUGAAAACCUAAUUCAACAACACCAAUAAUGUUUUCAAUUUGACUUCAUUUGUAAUGUCCAAAAGUCCAAACGUAAUUACCAUGGAUUGGAGGGAAGAGGUCUGUGAACCAAUAUCUGAAGUUUUAGGGAAGCAUUUUUCAGGUAAAGUCAAUUCAAAUUAAUUUAAUAAAAAUUGAAAGUAAGUUUAUUAGUGGGAUGUGGUUCCUGAACCAAUGACAGUUGUUCGUAUUCAUUAAAGUAAUAUGGGGUGGAAGCUAUUGACGUUUUAAGAAAGUAUCUUUACUGUAAAGUCAAUUUAAGUUGGUAGAAUAUCACCAAAGUCAAGAAAUACAAAAGCAAUUGAUAUUGAUUGGAGGGAUGAGGUCCCUGAACCAAUCACAGUUAGUUUAACUCAUGAAUGUCAAAUGGGUGGAAUCUAUUGACAUUUUAAAGUAUUAUUCAUGCAAAUUUAAUUAACGUUUGUAAAAAAGUAUCCAAAGUCAACAAAUACAACACAAAUUACUGUUGAUUGGAGGGAUGAGGUCCCUGAACCAAUAUCAGUUGAUUGUAUUCAUGAAAGUUAUAUGGAGGGGAAGAUAUUGAUGUUUUUUUGAAGUACUUUUAUGUAAAGUGAUUUAUUUUACAUUUUGUAGAUUUUAGAGAAGUAAAAUAAAAUGUAACUAAUUGCAUUCCAGAAAAGAGGUCUCUUAUCAGUGUCAAAUUUGUUUGAGAUCUCUAUGUCAUGUCGUUGAGAAGGUAUUGAUAUUUUCCAUUUACAGGCAAUUGUAUGCGAUGCAGUUUUAAGACGGUUCCUUAACCCUCUGAACAGAGGAUGGCACAUUUUUAGCUACAUUUCACCUCCAAAAAGUGAAUGACACCGAAUGGAACAGUAGGUUAACUGCCUUAUCCAGUUGUCUUGAAAGAACCAUAAAUCCAGAGAAUGACAGACUUUGAUGCCAAACCGCCGCUACACCUUCCUGUUCAAGUGAGCACAACACAACAAGGUGAGUCCAACAAUGUAUUGACUGCUGCUCUAUAAAUGAUGUAAUAUGCCAGGGAGAUGUGUAUACUGUAGAUAAGAAAGUAAUACUAAGUGUAUGUUGUGUAGUAAGCUGUUAGUAGCCCAUGUGCCUCACCCUAAUAAUGUUGUCCCUUUCCCUUCUCAUAACUUAGCCUACUGCUCUGACUUGGUGGUGCACAUGUAGACUAUAGCCUGUUUUAGAGAAAUGUAAUCAUCAAAUAUUGUAAGAGCUUUCAUUGUCUGCUUAUAUGCAGUUAUGACUUGGUGUACAGGGAGAAUACUGUAAGAAUGGCCCAUGUUCAAAAUUCUGUCGCUGCACAUUUCAAAAGUGCUGAACACAUAGUUAUAUUGACGACGUCCAUCCUAGGUCUCUCAUUGUCUUAAUCUAAAUGACAGAUAUCCUAUAGUCCACUCGUUGUCCCCUUGUGCCAUAGUUUGUACAUCACAAGUGUCAGUAGAAACCACAUUUGUUUUCCCCACCAAGAUGUACAUGCUGCAAUCACCACUGGGUGGGUGAAUUAUAACAUAUCAACCCUGUUACCUAUAGAUACAGUCUAGAAAUGUUUAAACUAUUUACAUGUGUUUGGUAAGCUUGCAUUCCAUUCCCCCUGUCACAUGGGGAUCUAUGGUUGAUUCUAGAUGAAAUAGUCAACUCUGUUACAGUCAACCCUGUCACUUUAUUUGGCACUUAAUAGGCACUUGCUAUAGUAUGUAUUUGUUACUGUUGAGAUGGGAAAACAUGUUUUUUAUUAAGUUGAACAUGUGCUCUUUAUGACAGAAUGUUAGAAUUAGGGGAAAUAUAAAGUUACACUCCCCAAAAGGUACUCAAUUGGUGGAAUGACCCAAGUACUGAACUGGAGGUGGGAGAGCUAACGAUGCGUCUACUGUUGCUCUCUCCUCAGACUCUUAGAGAAGCUAUUUCAAUCUGAUAUUUCUCCUAUGGUCUAAAAUAGAUGUGUAUAGAGGACUCCUCUCUAAUAUAACAUGUCACACAUUGUAUCAAACUGAUGGAAUGUUAGGUGUCUCAUUGAAAGUCUAACAUCUACCAUGACUACUGCAUGUUUCAAUUCUAAUAAAUAACAAAACAAUCCACACCGUAACAACAAUAUUGCUUUUUUACUAAAUGAUUUUAUUAAAGAAUAAAACUUUGCUAACAAAAAUGACAUCAUCAAACAUCACUGGCCUGACUUGAGCAGCUCUGCCCGGGGAUGGAGCCAGCAACUUAGCUGCUACCGGUCCGGUCCAGGCUACCUGCAGACCUCCUCCCAGACCUCAUUUUCAGCACCAACAGGAGAGGUGGUGGAAAUGAUCAGAGUUGCAUUCAACUUGAAUAAAGAUGAGAAACUCUGGUCUGUGGAGCCACUGGUCUGAGGGGAGGACUUCUGUUUAAACCAUUUCCAUUUUUGGGAUAUUUUCUAGGACUGUAGAGGUGGUAAGCAGAGAUGAAUUUAACUAGGAUACAGAUGAGAGUCUCUGUUCUUGGGAGGAGGGUCACUGACCUUCGAUGGUUUGUUGCCUGAUAAAGAGGAUACUUGCUGGCUUGAGGAGACUAUAAUGUUUUGAGGAGGAAAUGUGGCUCGAUGACUUAAAGAGGAGGAGGAAUUAUUGGGCGACACUUUUAAUUACCAACGUAACCUCAGUGGAACUGUGGCUUCAUCGAGUUCCAGCUCUAGGCAGACAGUACGUCAGGAAUGCUGUAAGACAUCACAGAGACAGGUAAGUAUCUAUAUAUUUACAUGUGUGUUGCAUGUACACUAAACCCUCACAUUUGGAUAAUGUCACUUUUUAAAGUGAUGACAUGUAUAUUAACAGUGUAAAACAUGAAUAGAUGUUUAAACAUUCUUUACCCCAUCCUAAUUUUCUUCCAGAUGCUUGGCUUUUUCUUUGUCUUUGUGUUGGAGAUUGGCUCUGAUGUUUCAGCCUCUUCUGGACCUUCUAGCUGCUGGCUGUCUGGCCCCCCCUGAUGGUUCUCUGGCCCCUCCUGCUGGUUCUCUGAACUCCCCUCCUGGUUGUCUGCCCAUGCCUGUUGCCUCCUUGGCCUUUCCUGGUGGCCAUCAGCAGAUCCAGUGGGCUCUUGGCUUACUUGUUGGCCUGUGGCCCACCAGGGCAACUCCUGACCGUGGUUGUAAUCGUGGCUGUGUUGGGUGGUUAGACACCGGGUGUUGAUUUGAGCAUCAGCCUCCAGAUUCAUCUGAUCCAGGUAGUUUUCCUUCAUCCUCUCCCUCUCCUCCAUCAGUUGUUGAUGAGUGUGUUUUUUAAGCAGGGACCGCUCUCUCCACUGCUUGUUGAAAUCCUCCAUCUUCUUCCUUCUCUCCUCAGCCUUCAGCAGCUCCUUCCUCUUCUCCCUCUCUCUCUCUGCCCGGGUCAUGGUGGAUGUUAGCCUUGUGUGUCCAGGGAUGGCUGGGAGGGGAGAAGAAGUAGAGUUUACAUUCAACUUAGUUGAUCUGGUAUCAACUUAAAUGUAAUGGACACAGGGAAUGAAGAAUAGAAAACACAAUUGGAUCUCAAUGAUCUUUACUCUUUUCAGUUAAGCAAGGCAUGGAAUGUGUCAAUAAAGUGCAAUAAUUCCCAUCCCGAAUUGUCCUGGCCCUAAGUUGAACAUGAGUCCAGAAUGGCACCUAUUCUUUGUAUAGUGCCAGGGCAUAUGUGAUCGCUUAGGGCCCCAUGGCCACUAGUAGCCCCCGGAUCCCCCCAAAACACGUUUUUGUGUGUGUUUUUUAGGAACUCUUUCUGGUUCUUUACUUAGUCUUGAGAGUUAGACUAGUAGAUGACUCAAGGUACCAUUUAAAAACGUGGUUGUUAUCAGCAGUAUUUUUCUUGUUAUGUCAGUCAGUCACUCAAUGAGCCAUGUCAGCUAACAUAUUCUUUGGACAGUAGUUUUAUAUUGAAACAAUGAUGCAACAUGAUGACUGGUGUGGAACUUAUGUGUGUAGAGGAGACUAAAGAGGAUGAUGUCAUAAGUAGAGGGAAAACAGGUCUUACCUAUGUGGACGAUCUUAUGGCCCUCCUCAGCCUCUCUCUGAUACGUUCUCUCUAUCUUUCUGAGGUUCCUCUUCUCCCAUGUUUUAUUCACCCAGCCCACAGCUCUCCUUCUGAUACUUUUAUCAGGUGGGAGAAUGUCCUCCUUGUCAUCUUCCUUCUCCUCCUCCUCUAAC
Molecule: long non-coding RNA, 8256 nt
Organism: Oncorhynchus nerka (sockeye salmon)
Lineage: Eukaryota; Metazoa; Chordata; Actinopteri; Salmoniformes; Salmonidae
Exons: 4
Source: RefSeq, a predicted model, not a curated record